This is a non-coding RNA of Ictidomys tridecemlineatus (thirteen-lined ground squirrel), 3034 nucleotides long. NCBI's taxonomy places the organism in Eukaryota, Metazoa, Chordata, Mammalia, Rodentia, Sciuridae. The record is from RefSeq and is a predicted model, not a curated record.
GGCUGCUGGGGAAGACAUUGCAAAGUGUCAGCGCCGGUGUUCGAGAAUUAAUUUUACCCUGGAGUAGCCGUGCAGGUGUGUACACAACAACUCUAUGAGCUGUGUCUUGGGAUUGAUCCCCAUGUGACAUGUGAGGAAAUGGAAGCCUGAAAGAUGAAGUCACCUGCCAAAGGCCAUCCAGUCAUGCUUUGAAAACGGUGGAAGAGAACUCCAGGCUGGGGGAUAAAGAGAGAAAGAAGAAUUCUCGAGUUUCGGAGCUUGGUUAACCUCUUUUCUGUGAAAUCUAUGUGUUCUUUUGUGCAAUAAUGAAGAGAUGGGGGGAAAAAAAGAAUUGUCCCCACAUUAUCUACCACUAGGCCAGCCAAAAGGACCUCUGACUCAGGGAGCAAAGUGCACCCUGGAGCAAAGUGCACCCUGCUACAGGCUCAGUCCCCUCUCUUCUUCCCUACCAGAUGGUGCUCUUAGCACUUGUCCAUGAUUUGGGGGUCAGGAGCUGCCACAGAAAAAAUACAGAAAUCAUGGGGUCAGCGACCCAAAUACAAAAAUCUAUUUCGACUACAUUUUAACUACUCAACUUAAAGGCAAUAGCACAGGAGAAAGAAGCUCUGCUGUUGAAAUCAAUGAAUGAAUCUUCCAAGUCAUUUCUAGGCUACAUACAUACUGAAUUCCUCACUUUGCCAAACAUCCUACAAGGUUUGGUGUUCCAAGAGACCAUGGGAUUUCUAAGUCCAAUCCAUUCUGCUACUCUAGCCAGAGAGAACUUUCCAAAGCACGGAUUUCUCCCCUUCCAAUCUGUUUUGCAUAUUGCCACCAAAGUGAUUUUCCUAAAACAUGCACCUAUUCAUUUGACAAGUAUCUAUUUAGUUGCGGUUAGGUGUCAGGCACUUUUCCUAGGCCUAGUGAGUGCCUGGUGAAUAAGGCAGGAAGUACCUGCUUUCUCCUAAAGGGAAGAGAAGAUGCUAAAACAACAGACAUUAUUUCAAACAAGUAACAAAUAACAACAUAGAAAUCAAAACAGAGUAGGAGUGAUGAAGAGGUAGGAAGUGGCUUGGGUGGGGUGGGAUGAUCAUUUAGAUGAUAAGUCAUAUUGGAACCAAGACCUUAGGGACAAGAGUGAAAUUGGCUGUGCCAAGAUCUGAGCAUUCCAGACAAAGGAAAGAGGAGGUUCCUUAGAUAAAAAUAACCCUGAGUAUUAGAAGAACAUAAAGAAGCCCAGGAGACUGAAAGAUAGUAAGGGGAAAAAGAUAGGAGUUGGGACCAGAUAGUGAGGCCAAUAGAGUUGGCUCCCUAAGAAUGAAAAUAGAUUGGCUCAAGACAUAUUUUGGAGGUGGAGCUGUCAAAAAGUUGAUGUGAGGAGUUGGGAAAAAAAAUAAUUGAGGAUGACUCUGGGUUUUUAGCUUGAGCGACUGAGUAGAUGGCAGUACCAUUUUGAAUGGGGGCAGUAAGGGAGGCCAAGGAGGUAGAAAAACAAGUGUUCUGCUUCAGUGUGCUCCAUGCAAAGUAUUCACCAGAUGUGCAAGUGAAAAUGUCAGGUAGACAACUAGACACACAAAUCCAGAAGGAAACAGAAAUUUUGAACCAAAGAUAUAAGUUUAGGAGUCAUUGGUUUAUGUACCUGUUUCUUGAAGCUAUGAAACUCCCAGAGGAAGGAUCAAGGAGAGAAGAGCAGAGCCCUGGGGCAGCCUAGCAUGCAGUAGGCGGGCAACCAACAAAGGGUAAUAAGAAAGAUUUGGCCAGAGAGGUGGGAAGAAAACAAGGACAGUGACACCUAAUAAACCAGGUAAGGACAGUGGUCGAGGAAGGAGAUAUGAACCAUGCCGAAUGUCACUGAGCAACUGAGUCCAAUAAAAAAAGAGAAGUGACCAAUGGACUUGGCAAAAGCCUGUUGAGGUAAGCAGAACUGACCAUUGUCCUGGUGUCUUUGUGGUCUGUGGCCUGUCCCUUUGCUGCCCCCAUCUUUCAGGAGCCCUCCUGCCCUCUGCCUCCGUCAGAGCCAACCAGGGAGGCACAGAUGGAAACUACUUUUUCCAUCUCACCUUCAAGAGGAAGCAAAAGGCCUUACCCCUCUUAAAAGAAUUUUCAAGUUUGCAUAAAAAGCAGGAGAGACUGAGAUAGGGUAGGAAGACUUUCUCAGGCUCUGAACUUCAGCCUUCUCCCUUUCUGGUGCAAUGGAUCCCUUAGAGAGCACCACUGGUUGAGUUUAGAUGUGAUGGGUAGAGGCUAUCUAUCUGCAAAUCCCCCAGGCUCUGGCUCUCUCCUGCCCAGUGCUAUGGACUCACUUGUCUGACUGGCUUCUCUCCCAACUUCCUGCCAGGCAAGUGAGCACCUGCUGCAGAUCCUAAAGAGGUGAUGGUUCCCCCAGGUCAGGGAGGGAUUUCCAAGCCAGGUGAUGUUUGAGUUCAUGUUUUCAGAAAAAAAAAAUGAGUUUACAGAGUGAUAGAAACCUAAGGAUAGAGGGCAGGUAAAGAGGGAGAGAGAAGGACAUCAAAGGCUGAAACAAGAGAACCUAAGCAAAGGCACAAUUGUGAAAAGACAUUGGUGUGUCCUGGAAUGAUGGAGCUGGUUGAAUGGUGCACCCCACCCCCACCCGUGCCCAACGCCCGGAACGUGGGAAUGUGACCUUAUUUGGGAAAAAAGUGAUCUUUGCAGGUAUAAUUAAGGAAUUCUGCGCAAAUCAUCCAGGAUUAUCCAGGUGGGCCCUAAAUCCAAUAGCAGGUAUCCCUAAAAGAGAAAGGAAGAGAAAGAUUUGAGGCUGAAGACGGUAACACAAAGGAGGUCAUGUGAAGACAGGAGCAGAGACUGGAGAGAAGCUGCCAUGGCUGAGAGAUGCCUGGAACAGUCAGAAGCUGGAAGAGACAAGGACAGGUUUGUUCCGAGAGCCUUGAGAGGGAACAUGGCCCUGUGACCUCGAUUUCAGACUUGGGGUCUCCAGAACUAGAAGAGAAUAAAAUUCUGCUGUUUAAACUACCACAUUGGUGGUGAUUUGUUUUGCAGCAGACCCAGGAAACUCGAACAAAUGACCCAAAGUCACUGU